GGAGAGGUGGCAGAGUGGUUGAUUGCGACGGUCUUGAAAACCGUUAUCCCGAGAGAUCGGGAUCGAGGGUUCGAAUCCCUCCCUCUCCUCCA
This 92-nucleotide transfer RNA is filed under the name Candidatus Babelota bacterium. Its description in RNAcentral is "Candidatus Dependentiae bacterium tRNA-Ser". It matches the Rfam family "tRNA". Rfam says of the family: Transfer RNA (tRNA) molecules are approximately 80 nucleotides in length. Their secondary structure includes four short double-helical elements and three loops (D, anti-codon, and T loops). The record is from RNAcentral. RNAcentral also lists the same sequence under 1 other name.